RNAcentral lists this transfer RNA (90 nucleotides) under Chromatiales bacterium. Its description in RNAcentral is "tRNA-Ser". It matches the Rfam family "tRNA". From Rfam's summary of the family: Transfer RNA (tRNA) molecules are approximately 80 nucleotides in length. Lineage: Bacteria; Pseudomonadati; Pseudomonadota; Gammaproteobacteria; Chromatiales. The record is from RNAcentral.
GGAGAGGUGACAGAGCGGUUGAAUGUACUGGUCUUGAAAACCAGCGAGGGUUUAUCCCCUCCCAGGGUUCGAAUCCCUGCCUCUCCGCCA